UGCGUAGGUGGCGGGGUAAGUUUGAUGUGAAAGCUCCGAGCUUAACUCGGAAAUUGCAUUGAAUACUAUCCUGCUCGAGGGUUGAAGGGGGGACUGGAAUUCUCGGUGUAGCAGUGAAAUGCGUAGAUAUCGAGAGGAACACCAGUGGCGAAGGCGAGUCCCUGGACAACUCCUGACACUGAGGCACGAAAGCUAGGGAGGCAAACA
This 207-nucleotide ribosomal RNA is filed under the name uncultured bacterium. Its description in RNAcentral is "partial 16S ribosomal RNA". It matches the Rfam family "Bacterial small subunit ribosomal RNA", at positions 568 to 774 of the family's 1533-position model. The record is from RNAcentral.